RNAcentral lists this ribosomal RNA (253 nucleotides) under uncultured bacterium. RNAcentral's name for it is "partial 16S ribosomal RNA". It matches the Rfam family "Bacterial small subunit ribosomal RNA", at positions 524 to 776 of the family's 1533-position model. The record is from RNAcentral.
UACGUAGGGGGCUAGCGUUGUCCGGAUUUAUUGGGCGUAAAGAGCGUGUAGGCGGCCAGGUAGGUCUGCUGUGAAAACUCGGGGCUCAACCUCGAGACGUCGGCGGAAACCAUCUGGCUAGAGUCCGGAAGAGGAGAGUGGAAUUCCUGGUGUAGCGGUGAAAUGCGCAGAUAUCAGGAAGAACACCCGUGGCGAAGGCGGCUCUCUGGGACGGUACUGACGCUGAGACGCGAAAGCGUGGGGAGCGAACAGG